AGGAAAGUGACCUCCCAGCCCCAACAGGCAGAGAAGCGGCAUGACAGCCAGCUUUGGGGUCAUCGAGACACAGCCGUGACAGAAGGGCUGAGCACAAGUCUGGCCAGUCGCCCUUGGAUUCAGUGAGCGAAGUGUUCAGGGCACGUGACCCAAAUCAGGCCAGUCGGCCCGGCCCAUUUCAGGCUCCUGCUUGCGAGACUAUGAAACUCGGCAGGAGUGGCUGGCGGGCCACAACUCUGAGGCUUUGGGCAGCCAUCUUGCCUUUGUGAGGGAAGAACCCAAGUGGAACUAACCAGCGAACGGCACAGCUGAAGAUGUAGACCAGGUCGACCAACUCGUCCAACUGGUAUUGUCUUGAUUUAAAAACCUGAAGGGCCACGACCUGGGAACCUCUCAGUCCUGGGAAGAUGGGAACGGCUGAUACGCCUAACUAGAAAGCAAGAGUGUGCUCUGAUGAAUCGCAGCCCCAGAUCCAGCCCCACCUGUGAACUUUUCACUGGUUUCUUUUUUCUGGUACUGGGAACUGAAUCCAGGGCUUCAAACAUGCUAGCCCCAUAAACUCUAUGCAUCUGUAUCAGCCCAGUCUUGGAACUCACUUUCUCCCUUUUUGUCAUCAACUCCCCCCACCCCAAAUGAAGAAGAUGAAGAAGAAGAAGAAAAAGAAAAACGACUGCUGUGCAGAACGUUCCAAGAUGCAAGCAACAAGCUGAGCUGAUCUUAUCAUCCCUCAGCACAGUUUUACCAAGAUGAAAGCAAGGACUAUUAAAAUAUCUGCUUGUAAUCUUUAUGUGAGAAGUGGCUGGAACUAGGCAUGAAAUGGUACUUCUUGUGCCUGUGACACAGAACAGCCAAGAACCGUCAGAAGUCAGGGCUGUGGCAGCUCUUGGGGCUGAGCCUCUGCAGGGCAGAACCCGGGGCAGAGUGAUUUCUAAGUCCCAACUCUCCAGAGCGGAAAGGGACUUGGUCUGGGUGUCGGGGUUCCUGGGUCCUGGAAUGAUAAUAACAUGUUUGCUGGGGGCUUAGAGUUGAUGAUUGUACAUGUGUUGUCUCCCAUAUUGUGCUACCCGUAGCAGUCUUCCUCAGGUACCGCAUUUCUACUCAUUUUCUCUGGCUUGUUUUAAAUAUCUUUAGGGAGGGUUUUCUAGCACCUCAAAGCAGGCUUGGUUUCUGUAGCAGUCAUGGUGCAUUGAGAUAGACAUUAGUUGUUAAGCACACCAUUUCACUUCCUUUUUUGGUAACAGCCCCUCCUUUCUUUUUAGGGAAAAUUUUCCCCUUCCCACGUAGUUCUGGUGGGCUGUUCAUCACAGUACCCUUCCCCUCUCCACACUGGUUGCCAGGAAACCAGGGAAAGCCUAUAUGCUCCCUCCCCAGGGCAGUGAUUGGUCCAUCUGUGGUCAUAUGACCUAAGUAGGGCCAAUAAGAGUCUUCUUUGCUAUUGAUCUACAGAUUAGGAGACAGGAAGGGUGUCUUUUGGAUGGGACUGCUAAGUGAGAAGGACUUGCACCUAGGGUUACCAGAGUCUGUCUUUUAUAACACUGUUGAGGAAAACUGUGAGUGUUAGGAGAGACAGAAGCUGGGCAUAAAAGCAGUGAAGAGGAUGGAUGUAAUAUAAUCCACAUACCAUAAACAUCCUUUUAAAGGGUUCAGUGGUUUUUAGGGUAUUCAUGAGUUUAUGCAACAAUCACCAUUAUCUAAUUCCAGAACAUGUCCAUCACCCUAAAAGGGAACCAUGUAACUGUUAGCAGUCACUCCCCCUUCUCUCCUAUCCUAGCCCCUGGAAACCACUAAUCUUUCUGUCUAUGGAUUUGCCUAUUCUGAACAUUUCAUGGUGAUGGAAUCAUAUGAUAUGUGGCCAUUUGUGCCUGCUCUCUUUUCCUUAGCAUGAUGUCUGCACAGUAUAACUAUAUUGUAUCAUAUACUAGUACUUCAUUCUUUUUUUAUGGCCAAACAAUAUUUCAUUGUAAGAAUGUAGCACAUUUUGUUUCACUAUUCAUUGGUUGGUGCAUAUUUGGCUUGUUUUGGGCCAUUAUGAAUAAUGCUGCUAUGAAUUUUUCAUUGAACAUUAUGU
RNAcentral lists this long non-coding RNA (2068 nucleotides) under Heterocephalus glaber (naked mole-rat). RNAcentral describes it as "lncRNA (ENSHGLG00000048615.1)". The record is from RNAcentral. Lineage: Eukaryota; Metazoa; Chordata; Mammalia; Rodentia; Bathyergidae.